This 576-nucleotide ribosomal RNA is filed under the name Staphylococcus agnetis. RNAcentral's name for it is "bacterial SSU rRNA". It matches the Rfam family "Bacterial small subunit ribosomal RNA", at positions 309 to 876 of the family's 1533-position model. The record is from RNAcentral. Lineage: Bacteria; Bacillati; Bacillota; Bacilli; Caryophanales; Staphylococcaceae.
CACACUGGAACUGAGACACGGUCCAGACUCCUACGGGAGGCAGCAGUAGGGAAUCUUCCGCAAUGGGCGAAAGCCUGACGGAGCAACGCCGCGUGAGUGAUGAAGGUCUUCGGAUCGUAAAGCUCUGUUGUUAGGGAAGAACAUAUGUGUAAGUAACUGUGCACAUCUUGACGGUACCUAACCAGAAAGCCACGGCUAACUACGUGCCAGCAGCCGCGGUAAUACGUAGGUGGCAAGCGUUAUCCAGAAUUAUUGGGCGUAAAGCGCGCGUAGGCGGUUUUUUAAGUCUGAUGUGAAAGCCCACGGCUCAACCGUGGAGGGUCAUUGGAAACUGGAAAACUUGAGUGCAGAAGAGGAAAGUGGAAUUCCAUGUGUAGCGGUGAAAUGCGCAGAGAUAUGGAGGAACACCAGUGGCGAAGGCGGCUUUCUGGUCUGUAACUGACGCUGAGGUGCGAAAGCGUGGGGAUCAAACAGGAUUAGAUACCCUGGUAGUCCACGCCGUAAACGAUGAGUGCUAAGUGUUAGGGGGUUUCCGCCCCUUAGUGCUGCAGCUAACGCAUUAAGCACUCCGCCUGG